Molecule: long non-coding RNA, 1065 nt
Organism: Astatotilapia calliptera (eastern happy)
Lineage: Eukaryota; Metazoa; Chordata; Actinopteri; Cichliformes; Cichlidae
Source: Ensembl
UUAAAAACUGCAUUUUGUAUUUCGUCUGUUUAUCUUUGUCUAGUAUAAAAGUUUGUUUGACAAACACUCACUGAAACAUGUGUGUUUGUUGUUCUGUAUGAGACAAAAAAAAGCAGCCAAACAAGCAGCUGUGUCACUGUUUACAGUAUAUAUUACCAUCAAUAUUACAGAUGCAUUGUGAACAUCUGCGACAAGAGGCAUUCACAGUGUCUCUGCGUUGGGUCUGCUUCUAUCCUUUCCUAGUCACAACUUACUAAGUGAAAGAUCAUAAAAUCUUUAUUAUUUUGCUCGCUCGCAGCAGUGUGCUGCUGUUUCUCAGUCUGUUGCUUUUAUCUGUCACUACAGCGCUUUGCGGAGAUGUAACAAACUUCUACACCUUCGUUAUCUUUAAACUUAUGUGAAGGUGUAUUAGAUAAGCAAGUCCCCUCAUUAAAUAAGAAUGAAGAAAAAAAAAAAACCUACAACGCUACAAUUCCAUUUAACUCUGACCCUUUACUUCUUUAUUACGAAUCACAGCAAACCGCGGGAGAGAGUGCUGCGCCGGCCUGAAAACCUUUCAACUAAUUCCGCCUAUUCAAGUCGCUUCUUCUUACCUCCUUUGAAAGUGCCGGUGUGGUGGGUGUCGCUACGUACUUUGUCACCCAAGGCUAGUAGCAGACAAUAACUGGCUGUUUGUAAAUCCACUGGAGAAAAGCAUGACUAACUCACUCACUUGACAGGAGCUGAAUAAAGCACUACACGGAGGAGCAGAUGAAUGCUAUAACCGGCCCAAGCAUCGAGGCAGGCACAGGCUGCAACAUCAGCCAGCUGUGGGGUUUUUGAACACGAACCUCUUACAUCAUGUACCACAUGACGAGUUCCUCGCCAUCGUGAACUUUUACUUCAUUCCAAAGAGGUGAGCCAAAAAAUGGAUGAGAGGGACAAGCAAACAUACUUCACUACUAUGACAACAGGUGCUGGAAAUGCAGAAAACACAGAGGUUAGCAAAAUGCAUGCAGUCGUCAGCCUCUCAGACCUGACGUUCAGCCUCCACUUGCAGAUGUGACAACUGCCACCUGGGAGCAG